Molecule: ribosomal RNA, 471 nt
Filed under: uncultured bacterium
Lineage: Bacteria
Description: partial 16S ribosomal RNA
Rfam family: Bacterial small subunit ribosomal RNA
Source: RNAcentral
GGUGAACGCUGGCGGCGUGCCUAAGACAUGCAAGUCGAGCGGGGCAGGUUUAUACCUGUUCAGCGGCGGACGGGUGAGUAACGCGUGGGUGACCUACCCGGAAGAUGCGGACAACCUGGGGAAACCCAGGCUAAUCCGCCAUGUGGUCCUGUCCUGUGGGGCAGGACUAAAGGGUGGAUAGCCCGCUUCCGGAUGGGCCCGCGUCCCAUCAGCUAGUUGGUGGGGUAAAGGCCCACCAAGGCGACGGCGGGUAGCCGGUCUGAGCGGAUGGCCGGCCACAGGGGCACUGAGACACGGGACCCACGCCGACGGGAGGCAGCAGUGAGGAAUCUUCCGCAAUGGACGGAAGUCUGACGGAGCGACGCCGCUUGGAGGAGGAAGCCCUUCGGGGUGUAAACUCCUGAACUGGGGACGAAAGCCCUGGGUAGGGGGAUGACGGUACCCAGGGAAUAGCACCGGCCAACUCCGUGC